UACGGAGGAUGCGAGCGUUAUCCGGAUUUAUUGGGUUUAAAGGGUGCGCAGGCGGCACGGCAAGCCGGCGGUCAAAUCGCGGGGCUCAACCCCGCCCAGCCGUCGGAACUGCCGGGCUAGAGUGGGCGAGAAGUGCGCGGAAUGCGUGGUGUAGCGGUGAAAUGCAUAGAUAUCACGCAGAACUCCGAUUGCGAAGGCAGCGCACCGGCGCCCUACUGACGCUCAGGCACGAAAGCGUGGGGAGCGAACAGG
Molecule: ribosomal RNA, 252 nt
Filed under: uncultured bacterium
Lineage: Bacteria
Description: partial 16S ribosomal RNA
Rfam family: Bacterial small subunit ribosomal RNA
Source: RNAcentral